This 253-nucleotide ribosomal RNA is filed under the name uncultured bacterium. Its description in RNAcentral is "partial 16S ribosomal RNA". It matches the Rfam family "Bacterial small subunit ribosomal RNA", at positions 524 to 776 of the family's 1533-position model. The record is from RNAcentral.
UACGGAGGGUGCAAGCAUUAAUCGGAUUUAUUGGGCGUAAAGGGCGCGUAGGCGGAAAGAUAAGUCAGAUGUGAAAUCCCGGGGCUCAACCUCGGAACAGCAUUUGAAACUGUCCUUCUAGAGGCUAGAUGGAGAAAACGGAAUUCCACAAGUAGCGGUGAAAUGCGUAGAGAUCGGAAGGAACAUCAGUGGCGAAGGCGGAUCUCUGGACAGCUCCUGACGCUGAGGCGCGAAGGCUAGGGGAGCAAACGGG